RNAcentral lists this ribosomal RNA (603 nucleotides) under unidentified nematode. Its description in RNAcentral is "SSU rRNA". It matches the Rfam family "Eukaryotic small subunit ribosomal RNA", at positions 1024 to 1643 of the family's 1831-position model. The record is from RNAcentral. Lineage: Eukaryota; Metazoa; Nematoda.
UUGUGACCGUAAACGAUGCCAACUAGCGAUCCGCCGGCGGAUUUCCAAACGCCCUGGUGGGGAGCUUCCCGGAAACGAAAGUCUUCCGGUUCCGGGGGAAGUAUGGUUGCAAAGCUGAAACUUAAAGGAAUUGACGGAAGGGCACCACCAGGAGUGGAGCCUGCGGCUUAAUUUGACUCAACACGGGAAAACUCACCCGGCCCGGACACCGCGAGGAUUGACAGAUUGAUAGCUCUUUCAUGAUUCGGUGGAUGGUGGUGCAUGGCCGUUCUUAGUUCGUGGAGCGAUUUGUCUGGUUUAUUCCGAUAACGAGCGAGACUCUAGCCUACUAAAUAGUCCGCACAUUCUUCACUGUAGUGUGCAUGGACUUCUUAGAGGGAUCAUCGGCGUUCAAAGCCGCACGAAACUGAGCAAUAACAGGUCUGUGAUGCCCUUAGAUGUCCGGGGCUGCACGCGCGCUACACUGGCGAAAUCAGCGUGCCUGUCCUUUCGCGAAAGCGAUUGGUAAACCGGUGAAAAUUCGCCGUGAUUGGGAUCGGAAAUUGCAAUUAUUUUUCCGUGAACGAGGAAUUCCAAGUAAGUGCGAGUCAUCAACUCGCGUUG